Molecule: ribosomal RNA, 424 nt
Filed under: uncultured bacterium
Lineage: Bacteria
Description: bacterial SSU rRNA
Rfam family: Bacterial small subunit ribosomal RNA
Source: RNAcentral
GGAAUUGUUCGCAAUGGGCGCAAGCCUGACGACGCAACGCCGCGUGGAGGAUGAAGAUCUUCGGGUCGUAAACUCCUUUCGAUCGGGACGAAUUGUCCGCGGGUCAAUACCCCGCGGGCGUGACGGUACCGAGAGAAGAAGCCCCGGCUAAAUCCGUGCCAGCAGCCGCGGUAAUACGGGGGGGGCAAGCGUUGUUCGGAAUUACUGGGCGUAAAGGGCGCGUAGGCGGCCUGUUAAGUCAGACGUGAAAUCCCCCGGCUCAACCGGGGAACUGCGUCUGAUACUGGCGGGCUUGAAUCCGGGAGAGGGAUGUGGAAUUCCAGGUGUAGCGGUGAAAUGCGUAGAUAUCUGGAGGAACACCGGUGGCGAAGGCGGCAUCCUGGACCGGCAUUGACGCUGAGGCGCGAAAGCCAGGGGAGCAAAC